Molecule: ribosomal RNA, 463 nt
Filed under: uncultured bacterium
Lineage: Bacteria
Description: partial 16S ribosomal RNA
Rfam family: Bacterial small subunit ribosomal RNA
Source: RNAcentral
GAUGAACGCUGACAGAAUGCUUAACACAUGCAAGUCUUUGGCGAAUCUGUGCUUGCACAGGCUAGCCAAGGCGGACGGGUGAGUAACGCGUAAAGAACUUGCCCUGCAGACAGGGAUAACAGACGGAAACGACUGAUAACACCUGAUACAGUUGCCGGCACGCAUGUGCCUGGCAAUGAAAAGAGAUGCUGCAGGAGAGCUUUGCGUCCUAUUAGCUUGUUGGUGAGGUGACGGCUCACCAAGGCGAUGAUAAGUAGCCGGCCUGAGAGGGUGAACGGCCACAAGGGGACUGAGAUACGGCCCUUACUCCUACGGGAGGCAGCAGUGGGGAAUAUUGGACAAUGGGGGCAACCCUGAUCCAGCAAUUCUGUGUGCACGAAGAAGGUUUUCGGAUUGUAAAGUGCUUUCAGCAGGGAAGAAGAAAGUGACGGUACCUGCAGAAGAAGCGACGGCUAAAUACGUG